Oryza glaberrima (African rice) is the source of this 202-nucleotide non-coding RNA. The record is from Rfam. NCBI's taxonomy places the organism in Eukaryota, Viridiplantae, Streptophyta, Magnoliopsida, Poales, Poaceae.
AAAAAAAACAAACCCUGGUUUCUGUGUCCAAUGACCGUCCGUCUUAUUUAAAAAAAUUAUGAAAAAAAUUAAAAAGACAAGUCACGCAUAAAAUAUUAAUCAUGUCUUAUCAUCUAACAACAAUAAAAACACGAAGUAUAAAAAAAUUUCAUAUAAGACGGACAGUUAAAGUUAGACACAGAAUCCCAGGGUUUGCCUUUUU